Molecule: ribosomal RNA, 533 nt
Filed under: Cydninae sp. 2 WCW-2007
Lineage: Eukaryota; Metazoa; Arthropoda; Insecta; Hemiptera; Cydnidae
Description: partial 16S ribosomal RNA
Rfam family: Bacterial large subunit ribosomal RNA
Source: RNAcentral
GUCUUGUUGAUAUUUUUAUAUCAAGUCUGGCCUGCUCAAUGAUAUAUAAUUUAUUUAAUAGCCGCAGUAUUUUGACUGUGCAAAGGUAGCAUAAUCAUUUGUCUUUUAAUUGUAGGCUUGUAUGAAUGGUUUGAUGAAAUACUUACUUUCCUUAAAUUACAAUUAAAUUAAUAGAAUUUAAUAUUUGAGUCAAAAAGCUUAAAUAUAGUCGUAGGACGAGAAGACCCUGUAGAAUUUUAUUAUAAUUUGAAUAGUUGGUUUUUGGUAUUAAUAUUAAUCAUCUAUAAUUCAUUAUAAUUGUGUUGGGGUGACAGGGAAAUUUACUUAACUUUCUUUAUUAUAUUAUUUACAUAUGAGUAUUGAUAAUGAUCCUAUUUUAUGGAUAAUAAGAUUAAAUUACCUCAGGGAUAACAGCGUAAUUCUUUUGGAGAGUUCUUAUCGAUAAUGGAGUUUGCGACCUCGAUGUUGGAUUAAAAUAAGCUUUAAGUGCAGUAGCUUAAUUGCUAGGUCUGUUCGACCUUUAAUAUUUUACA